RNAcentral lists this ribosomal RNA (245 nucleotides) under uncultured bacterium. RNAcentral's name for it is "partial 16S ribosomal RNA". It matches the Rfam family "Bacterial small subunit ribosomal RNA", at positions 28 to 271 of the family's 1533-position model. The record is from RNAcentral.
GACGAACGCUGGCGGCGUGCUUAACACAUGCAAGUCGAGCGGUAAGGCCCUUUCGGGGUACGACGAGCGGCGGACGGGUGAGUAACACGUGGGUGGCCUGCCCUCAGCUCUGGGAUAAGCCUGGGAAACCGGGGUCUAAUACCGGAUAUGACUCCAUGACGCAUGUUGUGGGGUGGAAAGCCUUGUGCGGCUGAGGAUGGGCCCGGCGGCCUAUCAGCUUGUUGGUGGGGGUGAUGGCCUACCAA